CACUGACCACCGAGCUUCAUCUCAGAUAUACACCGAUCCUUACUACUCCUUCUCAGUCUGGAGCUUUGCAGCAAUAGGGAUAGAAUGUGAGAGGUUGCGAAAAAAGUCCUUUGUUGUGCAUAUAGGUAAUGUAAUUAAAGAGCUACUUUUUGCAACUCUACCAAAAAUAUCCAAAAAAUUGUGGGCAAAUCAUGCACAGGAGAUUGCUUUGACAGGG
RNAcentral lists this long non-coding RNA (217 nucleotides) under Elaeis guineensis (African oil palm). Its description in RNAcentral is "long non-coding RNA (EGUI_LNC014274)". Lineage: Eukaryota; Viridiplantae; Streptophyta; Magnoliopsida; Arecales; Arecaceae. The record is from RNAcentral.